Molecule: ribosomal RNA, 427 nt
Filed under: uncultured bacterium
Lineage: Bacteria
Description: partial 16S ribosomal RNA
Rfam family: Bacterial small subunit ribosomal RNA
Source: RNAcentral
UGGGGAAUAUUGCACAAUGGGCGCAAGCCUGAUGCAGCCAUGCCGCGUGUAUGAAGAAGGCCUUCGGGUUGUAAAGUACUUUCAGCGGGGAGGAAGGGAGUAAAGUUAAUACCUUUGCUCAUUGACGUUACCCGCAGAAGAAGCACCGGCUAACUCCGUGCCAGCAGCCGCGGUAAUACGGAGGGUGCAAGCGUUAAUCGGAAUUACUGGGCGUAAAGCGCACGCAGGCGGUUUGUUAAGUCAGAUGUGAAAUCCCCGGGCUCAACCUGGGAACUGCAUCUGAUACUGGCAAGCUUGAGUCUCGUAGAGGGGGGUAGAAUUCCAGGUGUAGCGGUGAAAUGCGUAGAGAUCUGGAGGAAUACCGGUGGCGAAGGCGGCCCCCUGGACGAAGACUGAUGCUCAGGUGCGAAAGCGUGGGGAGCAAACA